UACGAAGGGGGCUAGCGUUGCUCGGAAUUCCUGGGCGUAAAGCGCACGUAGGCGGAUCUUUAAGUCAGGGGUGAAAUCCUGGAGCUCAACUCCAGAACUGCCUUUGAUACUGAGGACCUUGAGUUCGGGAGAGGUGAGUGGAACUGCGAGUGUAGAGGUGAAAUUCGUAGAUAUUCGCAAGAACACCAGUGGCGAAGGCGGCUCACUGGCCCGAUACUGACGCUGAGGUGCGAAAGCGUGGGGAGCAAACAGG
This 253-nucleotide ribosomal RNA is filed under the name uncultured bacterium. RNAcentral describes it as "partial 16S ribosomal RNA". It matches the Rfam family "Bacterial small subunit ribosomal RNA", at positions 524 to 776 of the family's 1533-position model. The record is from RNAcentral.